This is a non-coding RNA of Triticum urartu, 1355 nucleotides long. Lineage: Eukaryota; Viridiplantae; Streptophyta; Magnoliopsida; Poales; Poaceae. The record is from RefSeq and is a predicted model, not a curated record.
AAAACUAGAAGAGACCCACACGGCCACACCAUUCCCCACUCUCUCUCUGUCUUAUCUCAUUCGUCUAGAGAAGCUUGGCCACUGUUUUCCCCAAUCCACAACACUGCUCCGGCCGAGCGAAAUCCAGGUACACUGCGCUGCUCCGGCCAAAUGCGCUCGCCCCGAACUGCUCUGGCGAUGCCCUCCCUCUAUAUCCCUGCCUCUCUGCGCGCUGCUUCUUAUCCAUCCCCGUGCGGCCGUGCCCCAUGGCUUCUACCGGCAGCUGCAAGGGAUGGCCGGAGAGCGCACUACUGCGGGAGCCGAUCGAAUACGCCGCUGCUGCACCGCCUCACGUCUCUGCUAGUAGCAGGGAGACGACGAACUACACAAGCAGCAGAGCAACGAGCGAGAUCGACGAGCCUGACGACAACGGCAAGCUGGAGUCUCCCCCGACGAGCUCGACGAGGAAUAGGACGACGGCGAUGUCUCGGAGCAGCACGGUCGACCUCGGCGCCCUCCUGCCCGGCGUAGCCCCACUAGCAAAACCCAAGAUGCUGUCCAACCAAGUUUGUGUAUCCACAUUGCUUCUGAUGGCAUUGAAAGCUUCUACAAAGGCUUCCUCUUCCUCAUACUUUUACAUGCAAGCGCUGAAAUCAGCAAGUACAUUUGGUCCCUCCUCGUCUUUUUUCUUAUGAGCUUCACCAUACAUCAAGUCCCUUUGACGCCUGGUUCGCAAGUGGUUCUUGCGAUCACGACAUGUGUAGCCAAGGUUCAGUGGACCACCAACUUGUCGACUUGCUAACUCAUGGGCUCUUUUAGGUACAAUUCCUGAAUCAUCUGCUGUUUCAAUUUCAAAUGCUUGCAAGGCCGAAAUCUUCCGUUGUGACGGCAUCAAGUGGCUUGUCCCAGGCACCCGUAUAUCAUCUACAACUCAAUAUAUCUUGUUCUUGUCCUAGCUACAAGGAGGACGAUCAGGACAAAAGUAAGAUAGAAGGGAAAUCAUCUACAACAGGCACACACAAACGUACCUUGGUCUUGUUCUCGCUAGGGAGGAUGAGUGGGAGGAACAAGGGAGACGAGCAGGAGGAGGCGCCGACGAAAUUGUCAACACGUUCUGAUUGGCCACAACGUUAGUUCAGCAGAAGCGAGAUCUCUACAACACGUUCAGAUCAGCAUACCUUGGUCUCAUUUUUUCUCCGAGGAGGACCAGGAGGAAGAGGACGAGUGGGAGGAUUUUGGCGCCAAGAAACUAUCAGCUCGUUCUGUUUGGCGCCAGCGUUUAUCUGUUUGGCUGCAAUUGUACAACCGUGGGAGAUUUUCCUCCGGACUAAUAGGGAUUUUUGUUCUAAUUAUUCAUAGAAUUAAGGGGGGAGAAA